UCUUUCUCUCUCUUCAUCAGGUUCAGCUUUCUCUCUCUAAAAAAAAACCCUCAAAUAAAACCAUAAUUCUUAAUUCAAAGGAUAUCGAAAUCUAGCUCCCAUUUCAAGUUCUCUGUUGACGAUGCCAGUUGAAGGAUGAAGUGGUUCUCCAUUUUGGGCCAUUUGGGAAUCCUCAAAAUGUCAGAAUCUUGAUAGGAGGAGAAGUCAGCAUAUAUGUUGAUGAAGGUCUGACCUCAUUUCCAGUAAAACAAAUUUGACAAAAAGGUAGAUAUUUAUUAUUUAUCAUCUUGAUCAUUGAUAGUCCAAAAUUAACUGUACCAGAUAUGAUAACACUAACGUGGGAGUGAAAAUACAUUAAAGGCAUGUUAUUUGUAUGUAAAGUUUUAGCAAAACAGUAAAUAUCCUUGAAAAGGAAGGAGUGACAUACCAUUUGAUCAUUAUGUAUACUGACUUCUAAGAUUUCUUCCCCUCAUGUUAUGUAGAGAAUAUGAGAUUAUUGUGUCUAAACUUCGGAAAAUAUGCUAAAGUCUUAUCCUCCCCUGCUGUAACGAUCUUCUGGUCUACAAUGCAAAUGGACUAAUAUUUCCUUGUAUAUGAAUUUAAUAGGCUAGAUCUAGACCAAAUUUUCCUGGAGGAAACUCUAUACUAGCUUGAGUAGAGAGCAUGGUUGAUGAUCAAUAUUUGCAUAAUCAUUUGAUAGAUAAGAAGAAUUUUAUUUGAGAGUUCUUUAACAAUCCAUUCUAAAUUGGAGAAAUCUAACAGACUUGUUUCUUCCUUGGUGAAAAAAUCCUAUGACUUUUUAAUAUAAAAUUUUGCAAGGUGUCCUCUUAUAUGUUCAAAAUGCAGGGGAAAUAAAUAUCAUAUAUCAGCAACAAUUAGUGGUCCUGACUAAAAGUUAGCUACAUUGAUUAACCAUGACAUUGUGAGUUUGGGGUUUUUAAAUCAGUAGAAAACUUUACCAUUUCAUUGAUUUUCUAGUAAUCCGAUUAAAAUAAAUCCCCAAGAUCAUUCUUGAUAGUAUGAUACAUUAGGAGCAAGAUCAUCCUAAGUUUGCCGGCAAAUAGUUCUUUCACUCGUUUAUGUCACAUUAUCUUCUUUUUUCACUCAGUUUGUUGAAUCUCACAUCACAAUUUUGUCAUUUACCUCUUACCUCUUAACUGACUAAUUGUCCAACUUGAUGGGUUCUCCAUUAUGGGCCUUUUGAGUACCCUCAAAAUGUCAGAAUCUUGUCACAAAGGAGGAGAAGUCAGCAUAUAUGUUGAUGAAGGGCUGACCUCAUUUCCAGGUGGAAAUCUGUUUGGAGCGAGAGCAAUAAGCUACCCAGCAGAUUGACAAAUGCAGACAUCUCUCGCAUUUUGUUUUGAAACACAAGGAUCAUCCAUUGUAGCUGCUUACUAGCACUAUUUGUGACAAAUAUAUAAUGAGCAUCGAGCAUCACACCUUUCACAGGAAAGACAUCAACUAUUGACCGAGAUUACGUCCCAGGGAUCCAUAUUGGUCCCAUGAGGAUAUGUAUUGAUACUAAGGAUAAUUUGUCACUUGAUAAAAGGAAGAACAGCGUACAGAACUGACUUGAUUCUAGAUAAGAUGCUACAUGUUAUAUACACACCAAAUAGGAUGGAGAAUGAUAGGUUGAUCAUGAAACUUCCAAUAUAUGAUGAUGACUAUUAUUCACAUUACAGGGUCACAAGGGUCCCCAUGGGGAUAUAUGACGGAUGCCAUAGGAAUUAUCCUCUCAAUAUCGAAAAGUUGUAACAAGAUAAAGGAAGAAUGACAAAGAGAAAUGUACUGAUUGUGGAUAGGAGAUGCUACUUAUUAUACACACAACAAAUGAGAAUGACAUCUCUCAAGAAAUCAUAUCUCCACUCUCCGUAUUUUUCAUACAAUGUAUGAAGAUGCUGAGAAAGAGAAGCCUACUGGCAGGAGAUAAGGUAAGAGGGUUUGUGCAACUGGAUGGAGUCAAGAGACUGAAAAAAAAGCACCUUGGCUUUUAUGGGCAUAUGCCUUGUGAUCAAUUGAUGUAGUUGCUAGAAAGGAUAUACAUUAACAACUUACUCUCAGGGAGAGGUCAGCUGCUCAAUUUUUUUCCUUUAAUAUAUAUUGUUGUGAGAAAAAGAGAUGCCGAUUAUGGUAUAUAUAUCCACCUGGUGGAUUAUUAAGAGAAAAUGUACUUUAAAAAUGCAUAGUCACUACUUAAUACUAGUUGUUAUUUACUAUUUGUACCACGCAAUGAACUAAAGUUUUCUCUUCAUGAAUAUUAUAGUGUCGAGCAUCUAGUAUAAAUAACACUAACAUCACAAAAAGAAACUACACUAAGAUUUUUAUGAUUAGACUCUGUUUAUAUUUAUAGGGCAUAUCUUAAAUGUUUCAUCAUAUUAGAUAAAUAUCAGUUGAUAAAAUACUAAAAGAAUUUCCCAUCUGGUAUUUAUUUAAUUUUCUUCCGCAAGAUUUAACCUUAGGUUCUAUCCACCUAUCCAACAAAUUCUUAAAAUAAUCCAAAUUAAGCACAUAAUCAAAAUUUCAAAAGUCUAACACAUUCUUUGAAAAUUAUUUUGAUUUUAUUAGGUUGCCUUGCAUCACAGAGGCAAUGGAUUUCAUAUCUACAUCAUGCAUAAAAAUUCAUUAUGUUUAUUUUAAAAAUAUGUGCGCCUCCUAAGGUUACAAACUUUUUGAAUAUUUUAAUAUUUUAUAUUCCAUAAAUGUUGGUGAAAUAUUAUUUGUGAUGUAUUAAUAUUUUUAUUAAAUUAUCAUGUGCUGUUUUUGCUGGUUAUGGUCAUAAAUAUUGAUUAUUUGUUUGUUUCAUUGAUUUAUGUGAUCUUACUAGGAUUUUUGCACAUCAUCAUUAUAUUUAUGUUUUACCAACAUUCCAGUGUUAAUUUACUGAAAAAGUUAGGAUCAAAUUAUAUUAUAUUCUUGAGUAUUGUUUUUCAAAAUAAUUUCAUAUAGGGCUUCACCCUAAAGGUGCUUAAACUCUGUGGUUUAUGUGUUGUGGCUUCUUGAAAGUUUCAAAGCCUAUUUACUUCUUAGUCAAAUUAGCCAACAUUUAGAGUUUUUAUUAAGAUUUCUCCCUUACAAAAUUUAUAACCAGCACUAAAGCAAAGGUUUGCUUUGAGGCUAGAAGAGUUUAGCUUCACAUUUAUACUGCAUUCCAUAAAAGGCAUUCACUUGAACCCACAUAUACCACAGUAAGUUCUUAAUUUUUUUUGGCAUUUGUAUUUUUGUCUUGCAAAUUAGAACUGAGCAAAUUGAGAUAUCUCAAAGUAUUUUUCUAUAGAUCAAAACUAUAUAGGAUGAUUAAGUUGAAGAUUUCUUAUAUUUACAAUCAAAGUCGUAUCUUUCAAAGAGAUCACAUGAAUUAUAUAAUCAUGCAUAUUUGAAGCUUUUAAUCAAAAGUCAAUUACCUAGAGGAGUUUAAAAGCUUAUAGCAACUCUGCUACUUCUUAAUUGCUCAAAAUUUUUCAAAAAACUAUUCAAAAAAUAUUGUUGGUUAAUUACUUCUAAGUUGGUGAAAUUGGAUGUAACACCAUCAAACUAUAGGAGCCUUUAGUCAAGAAAUCUAGCAUGACAAGACACAUAACUUGCGAAUUCCACCACAGUGAAUUACAAUAAAGAUUGUCACUUCAGUGAGUGAUAUAGAGAAGGAAAGCUAAAACGAAUAACUUAUUCUGCCCCAUCAAUGGUAAUUAAUAAGUUUAAAAGUACAAAAUAACCAAGGUCACCUAAGGAAGAAUCUAAUAAAGUAGCUUAAUUAUUGUGAAGAUAAAUAUACUCCUCAUAGAGCUAGUAAUCAGUAUCAAAUUCUAUGUCCACCAAUAGAACUUAAAAGAUGCAGCCUUGUCUCCCAAGGGUCCUUUAGAUAUGAACCUUUUUUUUUUGAUAUAGAUCUAGUCAUUUCUUAAUGUUGGUGUUAUGCUAACUAAUAAAUAUUACAAUUUGGAACCUUUUGAACUUUGAAAGUUAUUUGAUUUGAUCUGAGGGGAUCUUCCUGAAGAAAACCACUUGCAUAAGAAUGCGAAAGCGUUCUCUUCUAAUUGGUUUAGUUUUAAUAUUUGUAUAUUUCUUUGUUUUUCUAACGCACAUUUCUUGAACUUCCGACCUCUAUACCGUAUACUGGCAUAUUUUUUCUCUCUGGAAGAUUAAGACAGCAUUAUUCGAGACCUGUGACUGACAAUGACAUAAACAUUUAGCAACAAGAGAACCUUCAGAAUUCAGUUGCUAAGAACAAAUAUGGCCAAACCACAACUAAUUAGACAUGAAUUCUGAUAUCUUCCUUUCUGUUAGAUAAAAAUGAUGGAUAGAUCGCUUCUUUUUAAUCGUAACUACUUAUCAUUUAAUGAAUAAAUUGAUUUUAGAUGAAAACUGAAAUUAAAUGUCAUUUCUUGGAAAACAGAACAAGUUAUUAUUAGACCAGUUACCAUAUUGAAGAAAUUAGAUAGAAUAGAGGGAUUAUGGACUAUGAUCAGGAUUUUGGUUGUGAGAACAUAACAUGCUUUUUUGAUACCGUGUUGUAUUUGGACAACUGCCUUGAUACUCAAGA
Molecule: long non-coding RNA, 4537 nt
Organism: Asparagus officinalis (garden asparagus)
Lineage: Eukaryota; Viridiplantae; Streptophyta; Magnoliopsida; Asparagales; Asparagaceae
Exons: 5
Source: RefSeq, a predicted model, not a curated record